Molecule: unclassified non-coding RNA, 334 nt
Filed under: Hevea brasiliensis (rubber tree)
Lineage: Eukaryota; Viridiplantae; Streptophyta; Magnoliopsida; Malpighiales; Euphorbiaceae
Source: RNAcentral
GGUGUGUGGUUCCAAAAUUAAUAUUGAAAGCGUAAUAUACCUAUUUUCUUUUCUGUUCUUUCCUACAGAAGGUUAUUAUAGCAUAAAGACAGGCAUUUUCUUUACUCAAGCAAACAAAAGAAUUUGUUCUGAAUGUAGUGUCUACUUAUGCUAGUUGCUACUUAUAUAAGUAGAGUAUGCGGUGGAAUAUAAAACAUUCUUCAAGUUUGAUCAUGCAAGCCUCGCAACUCACAACUGGCACUGAAAAGUUCAUCAGCACAUAUGAUCAUGAUCAUAAAUCUAUUUAAAUUUCUCUUGGUUUUGUUUCUUGAUUUAUUCUCAUAUGUAAUGAAAG